UCAAUUCUGUUAGAUGUCGGCGAGCCGUUAUCACGAAGUCGGAUCGCCGUUAGUGUCCAGAGGCUGAUCUUCAAUUCUGCUCGAUGUCGGCGAGCCGUUAACAAAAUGUCGGAUCGCCGUUUUCUACAGUGACUGCUACAGUGACUACUACAGUGCACUAUUUUGUAAAAUAAUAGUUUGACCCUCAAACUUUAUAUAACUGUACUAUGGCCCAAAACGGUAUGAAACUUUGCAAAUAAGUCCAAUUUCAGAAUUUCUAAAUAAUACUUUGUUAAUCCCAAAACUUUCUGAAAUUAUGGUAUAGCCAAAAAUGCUAUGACACUUUUCAAAUAAGUCCUUUACCAAAAUUUCAAGCAAUACUUCUUUAUUUCAAAGUUUUCAAAAUUCUUUCAAUUAAACCAUAAACUUUGAAAAACAACCAAUUUCAUAAAAUCAUUUUUCCAUUAAAUAUGAAACAUUUAUAAUGUGAAAAUAAUGAUUUAUUUAAAAAGAAUAAAAACAAUCAAUUUCAUAAAAUCAUUUUUCCAUUAAAUAUAAAACCUUUAAAAUGUGAAAAUAAUGAUUUAUUUAAGAUGUAUAAAAAAUAAUUUGAUCUUAAAAGAUUAAUCAUUCUUAAUCUUGUUUGUUAUCAUCAAAAUCAAUAUUAUGGAAACAUAUAUGUUAACAAUCUCCCCCUUUUUGAUGAUGACAAACAUUUCAUGUAUUUAAAGAAUGAUUCCACAAAUUGCUUCCCCUAAAUAUAAUCUUCUUUUACAAUUUGCCAAUUAGCUAAAUUACCAUAUUUAAAUACAUGGAUUUUUCUCCCCCUCAUCAUCAAAAAGAAAAAACUUAAUUGGCAAAAAAAAAAAAUAGCAAUUUUUUUUUUUUUAUAAAUUCGAAAACAUGUAUUCUUCUCCCCCUUCAUCAUAAAAAAGAAAACGUAAAGGAAAAUAAUAAGAGUAGGAAAUUUGUUACCCAUGUUGUCCGAAUAGAAAUUUCGACAAAAUCUCCCCCUAACAACAAGCAUCACCUCAAAUACAAAUUUAGUAAUAUUACUCAUAAAUUAUCAUCAUAUCUCAAAAUCAUCAAGUACUCACCAUAAUCACAUAUCAUCAAAAUCAUCAAAAGAAUAUUCAAAGUGCAUAUUAUUCUAAAACAUAUUAUAUGCUCCCCCUAAAUAUAUGGCCAAUUUAAAAAAUUAACCAAAAUGAUAUUAUCCAAAAACAUGUCAUAUUUGUCUCCCCCUUCACAAAAAAUAGAUAGAUGCAAUCAAAACAAGAGCAAAAAAAAUAAGUCAAUAAAGAUAUUACCAAUUUUGUGCGAGCAAAAAUUUCGACAUAGUCUCCCCUUAAAAUGCACAAAUCCUCAAAUACACAACAUGGUUAAAAACGCUUCCAUAUAAGCUUAAACAAUUAUACCAAACCAACAACUCCAUCCAUUCAUCAAGCGACACAUAUAUAAUUUUCAAAUUCAAUAUGAAUCCAUAUUUAUACCAAAAAGAACAUCUCAAUGAUUAAUCAAGAAGCAUAUAAAAAUAAAGCAUGCAAUUAAUUCAAAGAGUCAUAUUCAUUCUAAGAAUUCAGAAAAAUAUCAUCCAAAUAUAAAUUAUCCAAAUAUUAAACAACCAUCAUCCGUAAUCCGCAAUUAAAACAAUUAUGCAUAUGAAAAUAUAGGUGCAUAAUA
Molecule: long non-coding RNA, 1662 nt
Filed under: Citrus x clementina
Lineage: Eukaryota; Viridiplantae; Streptophyta; Magnoliopsida; Sapindales; Rutaceae
Description: Citrus clementina (C. clementina) long non-coding RNA (CCLE_LNC006166)
Source: RNAcentral